CAUAACCUUUAGCUAAACCAGUAUUAAAGGCAACGCCUGCCCAGUGAAUAAUUAAACGGCCGCGGUACCCUAACCGUGCAAAGGUAGCGUAAUCAUUUGUCUAUUAAUUGUAGACCCGUAUGAAAGGCAUAAUGAGGGUUUAACUGUCUCUUUUAGUAAAUCAAUUAAACUGAUCUCCUAGUCCAAAAGCUAGGAUACCAACAUAAGACCAGAAGACCCUGUGAAACUUUAACUAAAAUAUUAAAGCCUAUAAUAACUACUUUAGGUUGGGGCGACCUUGGAAAAUAAAAGAACUUCCACACACAUAUUAUAUAAUAAUAUAUAACCGGCCAACAAGCCUACAACGACCCAGCACAGCUGACAAUUGAACCAAGCUACUCCAGGGAUAACAGCGCUAUCUUCUUCAAGAGCCCAUAUCAAAAAGAAGGUUUACGACCUCGAUGUUGGAUCAGGACAUCCUGAUGGUGCAACCGCUAUUAAGGGUUCGUUUGUUCAACGAUUAAUAGUCCUACGUGAUCUG
RNAcentral lists this ribosomal RNA (520 nucleotides) under Hydrophis pacificus (Pacific seasnake). Its description in RNAcentral is "partial 16S ribosomal RNA". It matches the Rfam family "Bacterial large subunit ribosomal RNA", at positions 1814 to 2607 of the family's 2925-position model. Lineage: Eukaryota; Metazoa; Chordata; Lepidosauria; Squamata; Elapidae. The record is from RNAcentral.